AUGAGCAGCACUCUCUGCCCCUUCCUACCUCAUGGUCCUGCUGAUUCUUCAACAUUACAUCCUCAUUGUCCCUGGAUCAGGCCACCCCUUCUUCUCUGGACCUGGCAGUUAAAAUCAAGAAUAAGGGAUAGCAGGCUACAGUUGAGGGAAAUCAUCUUAAGAAGAAAAAACUUGCAAGCAAGUACAAGGGCCAAUACAUCUGUUUCUAUUUCAUUACACAGUUCUCUCCCUGGAUUCACCUGA
This 243-nucleotide long non-coding RNA is filed under the name Ursus maritimus (polar bear). RNAcentral describes it as "lncRNA (ENSUMAG00000013387.1)". The record is from RNAcentral. Lineage: Eukaryota; Metazoa; Chordata; Mammalia; Carnivora; Ursidae.